Non-coding RNA from Equus caballus (horse), 11622 nucleotides. The record is from RefSeq and is a predicted model, not a curated record. NCBI's taxonomy places the organism in Eukaryota, Metazoa, Chordata, Mammalia, Perissodactyla, Equidae.
GGUGGCUGGUGGGGAGUGUGGGAUGAUGCCAAGGUGGUGAUGGUGGGGCAGCCGUGGCAGCUAGUGUGGAGGCGGGGAAAAAGAGCCUGGUGUCGUAGGGAGGUCCAGGCACUUGGUGUCAUGAGGCUGGAGGUGGGUCAGGGCCACGUGGUCGAGAGCUAAGUGCCUCUAAAGAGCAUCAGUUUUCCCCAGUAUGCAGUGGGGACACCGUAAAGGGGUUCCAGGAGGUAGGCACGUGCCCAGGGUUUUAUUCUGGAGAAAUCAUUCUGGGAGCAGGAUUGUGUUGAGAAGGACAGUGUUGGGAGGGGCAGGAGCAGCUGUAAUUGUCAGGAUGAGAGAAACCGAGUGUCUGAAUGGAAGCAGGAGCUGCGGGUGGAGAGGAGGGAGAUGUCGGAGAGAAGACAGCACACUCUUCUUUUCUAAGUGAUCGGUCAGCUCCUCACCUGGUGCCGGCGGCCUGAGCACCUGUAGUACACGUAACCCAAUGAGCAAGUAACGGCAAAAUGUUACCUCUCGCUGUUUAGUGCUCUUAAUGUUCAUGAGUUAAUCGCUAAAAAUAUACGUAUAACACAUUCCCUACCCUCCACAAACUUGUGUUGCAGGAUGUUGUAGCAGGUCCUAAAAUACACAGACCCACAGACUGAAGAAUACUGUCCUCAGUCUGUGAAAGGCAAGCAUCGAUUGGAUUGGAUCAAGAUGGGGAGGGUUGGGAAAGGACAUUUCCUGCAAACAUCCACUUAAGGUGUGUAGAGUGGUGAAUUAAUUUCACUGCUCUACCUAGUAAGUGUAUGCAGGUGCGUGGGGAGGGGGGCAGCAGUGGGAGGCGGGAUGGGAAGGAAGAGACUGUGAGGGGGGGCCACAAGAGGGACUUUGCAAGAAACCCCUCCCAAUCGUCUUCCUCCCCCUCUUGGGGUCUAUCUGGGUGCUGUGGUUCCUGGGCUUCCUAAUGCCCCACCCAGCAGGCAGUGUGCUGACAGGCAGAGGGCAGGCCGGCAGAGGCAUCUCUGGCCCUGAGGGCAGCGCCCGCCGUCUGAGCUUCCAUGGUCUGGUUAUUAGCAAAACCUCAACUCCUUUCCAGAGCUCCAGUGCUCCCUGCCAUGCCCAGGCAUAACCAGUACAGUGUCACAAUAGCCACCCUUUACAAACAUCCUUGGGACUCGAAACAUUGUCAGGCACAAAGAAAAGUAUGGCUUCACUCUCUGAACCGUUGUUUCCUCUUCAGGGGAAGGAGCGGUGGAGGUUGUAGUGGCUGGAUAUCAUUUCAGAAGAACCUGUCAUUUUUCCAGGAGAAGAGACUGUAAGAGGAAAGUCCUGGAGGGUGCGUAGGAUGUCACUCAUUUAGUGGGAUAAAAGCCAGUCUGCAUGAGAAACCGCGCAUUCUGAGCACUGCAGGGGCAGUGCUGGAUUUGUUCAAGGCUGAGAAAGGAUGCCUUAUCCUGGCGAUGCGGUUCACGGCAGGGCGAGCGGCAGUGACGGGGUACUGAGCACACACCUGGGAGCGUGAGAUGAGCGACCCUCACUGGCCAACUGAUCCAUCCCACCAGACUGCAGCCUCAGUUUCUCGGCUUGUAAAAGUUAUAUGAUACUUGCUUUAGAAUAAACUCAUGGGAUGUAGAAUUCAAAAUGAUAAAUAUUUUUAUCAAGUUUCUCCCGACCCCCUAACUUUUAGGGAUUUACUUCUCCCCUUGAAAGCCAGAAAUAGUGGGAGAAACAAGAGAUGUGACUCUAAUAUUACUUGUCUUUACCAACAAUGUUAAUUUCUCUCUAAGGAGCUGGGCAAGUUACAUUGUAUUUGAUUCCUGACUACUGUCUCUAAACCGAGGAUUCAAAUUGUUAGACUCAAUUCAUGACCUUGUUGGAAAUUUCCAGCCAACCCACUGCUCAAUCACCUUAACUAGGAGAAAAUAUUUUAUGAUAUAGUGGAAACAAAUGAUAACAGUGUUGAGAGGGACAAGCUUAACACAGAAUCCAGACUUCACACGUUCACGUGGGGGAGAUAGAAGUCGCGGAGUAGGCUGAUUUCUGAUGACAACCUGAUUUAAUUUGCAAUAUGACUGCAUCAGUGGCUGCUCAAAAAGCUGUUUCCAACAUUUUGCAUCAAUAUAGCAGCUCUGGGAUCCUGAAGAAAUUUGUAUUUGCUGUCUAAGACCGGAAGGGUGGAGGAAUACAGGUACCCCUAAGCUAAGUAUAUUCGUGAUGAAAGACGAAUAGGUUCAUUACAGUGUUGUUUGUAAUAGGAAAAAUUGGAAACAAUUUAAAUAUGUAAAAUAAUUAAACAAUGAUACAUUCCUUUAUUCAGAUGCUGUAUGAUAUUUAAAAAUUGAGGAAGAUUGAGGUAUUGACUCAAUGAAAAAUGUCCAUGUGGUAGGAAAUGGGAAUAAUUACAGAAUGAUAUGCAAAUCAUAAUUCCGUCUUGGUAAGAACAAACAAGUCAAUCUAUGUAUACGCUGGAUGUUAGUCCAGGGACUCAGACACACAUACGCCUCCUGCAGGCUGGCAGUGUGGGGCGUGCACAUGUGCAGGGACGGGUGAAUUACCAGGGGAGUGGAACAUGAAGAGGCAGGUGGUACACAUCUUCCCUUUCAGACCACUGGAGUAAUUAUAUAUGUAUUUUAAAACAAUAGACAUCUUAUACUUUUGUAAUAAAAAAGAAACAUUACCAACACAAUAGAUGUGUUUCAUCAAAUUAAAUGUGUUAUACUUUAAAACCAGCAUCAAGUUAAGACAUUUUACUUAAGGCUGCUGUGAAAACGUAUGUGUUUCUGAGUCAGGCCGGCGAGCCUAGCCGUUAGGACUUGAUGCUUUUAAGGUCUUUGUGCUCUUGCCCCAACUACUGUGUUCAUUUAAGAGAGUAUACGUCAGCCUUCUAUCUGAGCAGUCCAGCGAUUGAAGCAGUGUAUUUUAGCACUCCAGAAUAACUGUCAUUAGGCGAUCAGUAACUAGCAGCCUAUUACAUUCUAAGCAUGUUUCAAUGCCUGGUGUAAAUGUUUUGACAAUAGCCUCUGUGCACUAAUAACAUUGUGCAUAACAAAGAAUAACAGGUGCAGCCAAAAGGGAGGCAAGUUCCUCCAGGAUGUGUUUUCAAUCUAUCAUGUGUGCCUUGACUUUUCUAAAUGUGUGAAAAUAAUUAUUAUUGCCACUGUGGUGUAAUUGGUCUCUAUGGACAACCUAUGGCGGUGAAAACCUUUGGAAUAAAGUGAGAAAUCUACCCAGAUGAGUUCAGAAGUCUGUCAAGAAGCACUCUAGUCAAAGCCUGCCCUUCUGGGGGGCCACCCUCUUUCAUCCUGAAGUGAUCCUUCCAUGGUCUUUGUGGGCACGUUAUUAGUGGGUAGGAAAAGGUAAGGAGUGUGAUGGGAAAACAAGAGGCAGGUUUUCCCUUUCAAUGAUCAUAGGCCAGCAAGCCCUCGGAUCGACCCCGUACCCACGCCGACGGAGGAGAAGUGGACACGUGCUCAGUUAGAGAAGAGAACGGCACCUGCAGUCACCUGGGGCCAGAGGAUGUGGCAGACGCAUUUCAGCAGGUCGAUUUUUUUUCCUUUUAAUGCAUAUAUUUGGAAAUCCAGUCUAAAGUGCAUUGAGCUUGGAAGAGAAGGGUGGAAUGCCUUUCCCAUCAUCAUAGUCAUUUGGAAAUCGAGGAAGGUGGAUUUUUCCUCCCAGAAUUGGUAGAGUUGCAAUUUCUGUUAGGAUAUGCAAACCAAACCCAUAUAUUUCAUGCUAUUCUCAUCAAGUGCAGUCAGCCUAAAAGUAGAAUUUAAAGAAAACUCAAGGCCGAUUCAAAAAGGUACAAUCGAAGUCCUUUUUAGCUAUCUCGGCACUGAAAUCAUGGACAGGAAGAAGAAUAUGUCUCUAUCAUUAAAUGGAAUAAAAAUUCUUAGAAAACUAAUUCGUUAAUAAUGUGAGUGGCUGCAGAGAAAAAAACUAAUCCAAAUUCAUUCACCCAACAUAAAAUAAAAUACACUGGUUCUCCUCCUCCAUUUUUGAGCUUGCUAGUUUGGGGAGGUUCAUUUUACAUAGUUUUAUGAACAUAAGAUAAAUGUAGCUUUCUGAUUAGAUACAAGCUUAUGGGUCUCUCUCUGUCUCUGUCUCUGUCUCUGUCUCUCUCCUUCUUGGUAUAAGUCACUUCAUCUCAGUUACUCUAACAAGAAUUUUUAGUCUUUGCAAACCCUAGUUUUUAAAUCUGUGUCUGAAACCAAGUAGAGUGCUGGCACUUUAAAAAUCCUCAUUGACUGAAUCUUCUCCCCUAUGUAAUUCUGGUUCAUCUACACUGGAGAGUGCCAGGCAAGUUCUUCGACUCUAGCAUCUCCUUCAUGCAUUGAAUCCUCUGGUAUAAUAGACAUGAAUGCUCUAUUGCGUGGCUGUAAUUACUGGGUUUGCGGGCUCUGACUCCUUAGACUGUUUAAAAAAAUUUAAAAGUGUAACACAUUUUGCUGCAGAAAAUACCCCCAUAUGUUUCUCCUGGCUGUUGCGUUAUGAAUUCUUAGCUCUGACUUAGAUCACUCUCACUCUUUGGAAUUCCUGUAUCAUUGAUGCAAGAAGAGUAGUGGAAAGUCAAACAAGAUAAAAUGACAGAUGAAGGAUUAAUGGUGACUGAGGACACAGCACUAUACAGAGUAAGGGUUCAAUUCAUAUUGAAUAAAUGGAAAGAAGUAUUCAGGGUUUUGGACUCCAGUCCUGUGGGGUGUGCACUUAAUUGUACUCGGUUUAGUGAGGCUUGAAGGGAAAUCAAGUUUCUUUUUCAGGGAGCUAGUUCAGGGGAACUAAUCAUUUCUGCAGAAAAGAGAGCAGAGACGCCUACUCUGACUGCAGGUGACAUCUCUCUGGACACGUUCUCAGAAACCCUGCACCAGGAAUUGAGUUGUCUUGGAUUCCGACGUGCCUGGUCUGACUCAUGGAAAAUAAUCUAUAAAUUCUACCUUGCUACUGAGCAUCGGAAGUUUGAUUCUAUGUGUCAAUUUCUGUAAGUAUUACUUCUAGAAACACAGAAAUGAAUUAUUUAAUACAUCUGUAGCACAAGUCCUUGGAGAGGAAGCAAGAAUUCAGCAGUUGAACCCAAUUAAAAUUCUUUCAGGAAGCAAAUUCAAACUCCCUUUUGGGUUCAUGAACAAACCACAGAAUAAAAUGUUUCGAAGGCUGACUCACAUGUGUUCUUUAGUGAUUGUAACAACAUUUCCUCUCUGCAGAUUUGAAAAAAUGACUUUCUUGGGUUUGAUCAGUGGAACCCUUGAGUCCUUACUGUGCCAGGCACCACAUUGGGUUCAGGGACACAAAGGUGGAUAAGAAGGUCUCUGCCUGUGAGCUUACCCAUAUGGCAGGGUUACUAUUAAUGAAUUUCAACAAUUUAAGAUAAAUCUAUUAACAAAAUACUAUGUUCCAGCAAGUGAAUGCUUACAAAAUGAGGAUGACAUAGGCAUUUUCCCCAAGGUGUUUAAUAUCAAAAGAGAGAAACAGACUCCUGAAUAUCUGAUCACAGCACAAUAUAAUUCAUGCUACAAUUGAGAUCAAAUUGCUAGAAGGUGAAAGAAAAUCAUUCAUCUUAAAUUUACAGAAAUUUUCCAUUUUCAAAAUCAAGAUUCCUUCCUAGUCCAGCAUAUGUAAAAGUUUUGGAUAAAGUAUUUAUUUUUAAAAAAUGUUCUUUUAAUGUAAUUUUUACUGGCAAGAAAAUAUAGGUAUUCCUUGAAGACCAGAAACACAUCUACAGGAGGUACAGAAGCUGACUUUUGUGGAAUUAUUGGCACAAAACUUACAUUUUUAAACACACAUGGGGCAUUUCUGGAAAUUGGUUGGGUAUUUUUGGCCUUAAAGAAGCUCUCAAGACUUUUUGAAAGACUAGUAACAUAUCUAUCACAUUUUCUUACUGUAAUGCAAUAAAUAGAUCACUGAAAAUGUUCUAUACAUUCAGAAAGUUCAGAACAUACUUCCAAAUCAGUCAAAGAAAGAUUAAUAGAAACCAGGAAAAUCUUAGAAAUAAAUAAUGACCAAAAUGUAUAUGUAAAAACUUGUGAGAUGUAGCUAAGACUUUGCUGAGAGGUAAAUCUAUAGACUUAAAUGUUUAUAUUAAAGAAGAAGAAAUUAAAAAAUUGAGCUAAGCAUCCAAUGUAAGAAAUCAGAGGGAAAAACAGGCUCACUGAAUAACCCAAAGAAAAUUGAAGGACAGAAAUUGAUGACGUAGAAAUCAAAGAUAUAAAUGAGAACAUCACUUUGUUUUUAAAAGAGUAAUAAAAAUGGCAACUUCUGUCAGGGUUUAUCGAGAAAAAAGAACAGAGAAGUCACAAACAAUAUGAGCAAUUUAAAAAGAGACUAUUUGUAGCACUCCAAGAAUAGAUAAAUGAGAGAAAACAAGUUUAUGCCAAUAAAUUUAAAAACUUAUAAAAAAUAGAUGUGCUCCUAGGAAAAUAAAAAUUAUCAGAACUGACUCAAAAAAUAAAACCUGAUUUGUGUCAUAACCAUUAAAGGAAUUGAAUUAAAAAUUUAACAUCUUUCUGUGAGCAAAAUCCUGGGCCCAGAUUGUUCAAGGUAUUGGUAAUUCCAUUUUUAAACACCUUCAGAGAAUAAGAAAAGAUGGAGCACUCGUCAACUCAUUUAAUGUCUAUUGUAACUUUGAUACCAAAACCAGAUAAGGACAGCAGGAGAAAAGAAAAUUAUUUAAAGAAAUUCUUAAAAAUAGAGGGAAAAUGCUGAGGCAAAAUACAGGCAAACAAAAUUUAACCAUGGUUUAGAAAAAAAUCCCCACCAAGCUAAUUAACCUAAGGCCAAGUUAGUUAGCAGGUUAAAGGGUGUGGGACGUGGGAGCAGAGAUGGUCAUCACCAUGGUCAUAGGAAAAACAUGAUAAAAUCACACACCCAUUCAUGGUUUAACAAGAGAGCAAACAAAACUUCUUGCAAUAGGAAGAUGGUCACACCUUAACCGGAAACAAGUGAAUCCAAAAAAUUUUGUUUAUUUUCUCAGAGAUCUGAUAGCUAACCAAAAAAUGAACUCUCUUCCUUAAUAAGAAGAUGAGGAAAGUUUGUUAAUAUUUAAACCAUUUUUUGCCCUGUUACGUACAUAAAGAUGUGUGUGUAUUUAUAGAAAUAUAAAUAUCUACAAUUGCAGAGAGCUUUACUCUAUAGAAGUUGAGAAUGCAAAAUCUGGAGGAAGACUGCUCAAUUAAAUCCUGGGAUUGUGUGAUUUGGGGCAAAUUUCCUAACCACCCUGUGCCUCAGUUUUCUCACCUGUAAGAUGGGUAAGGAAAAUACCUUACUGGAUUGUUGUGAGGGUUAGCUGAGUAAAUAUGUGUGAAGCAGGCGGGAAAAUGCCUUGCAGAUUAUAAGCACUUAAUUGGUAUUAAUGGCUAUGGUUAGUUUUCUUUUGUACCAAAAUUUUAACAUCAUGAUCUCUGGGCAGAAGAUUAAUGGGUGGUUUUUAAGUUCUUCUUUAUAUUUUUCCUGCAUUUUCCAAAUUUUCUACAAUAUUUUGCUUUUAUGGGAAGAGCUACUUAAAAUGCGAACAUGCACACUCACACUGCUCACAUACACCCUAGCAAAAGCUGAAGCCCUGUGAUCUGAGUUGGCUCAUCCGCUUCCCUGGGAGCUGAUGGCAGAGCAUCACUCUGAGAGCCCUGCUGGGUCCCCCUCUGCCUGCUGUCUCUGCUAGGCAGGGCAGAUGGAGCGUGGACUCUAACCACAGGUUAGCACCCCAUAGCUGUCCACUGGGAGCAAGAGCGACUCCAGAGGCAAAGGAAAGGCUCUUUCCAAUCCUGUUAGACAAAGAUGCAUCAGGAUCAGUCAUGGAACUUCCUGCCCAAGGAUGUUCAGACUCUGCCCUGAGACUGUGAGCUGGCGGGUCAGAGAAGGGCUUACAGCUUGUGAGGCUGACAGGCGCCUGUGCUGCCAACAACGGCUUUCUUCUGGUUUCCCUCAGCCUUUUCCCACAUCCUGACACAGGCAGCCCUGGGCUGGUGGGUUUUAAUGCUAUGCAACACUUCCCAAUUAAUUUUAAAUAUUCAGAUCACGCCCACUCAUUCAUUCAAAACAGUCUAUGGUCCAAUUGUUCAGGAAAUGUUCUAGAUUAGAAAAAGGAGACACAAAGUGGAAACUAACAAUGUUCCUCAUUCUCAGAAGUUUAAAUUUUCAUAUAGGAAGACAGAAAAUUAACAAGCAAACACGUGAGAUAAUUGCAGAGUGUAAUAAGCGCCCUUCGAAGAGGAAAUAAAUAGGAUGAUGUGACAGAGUGAUGGGAGAGGCGCUUCACACAGGUGGACAGGGACAGCUCUCCCGAGCAGGUGAGACUGCGAUGCAGACUUAGAGGUGAGAGGGCGGGUCAUGCUCAGAGUGGAAGGGAACGUUUUCCAGGCAGAAGCAACGGCCAGCGCUCUGCAACAGGAAAGAGCUAGGCAUGUUAAGUGCCUGGAACAUAACUUGUAAGUGGUAGAGUGACAUGAAGAAGACACUGCAGAAGCAGAUGCUUAGGGACCUGUCGUCCAGGACAGGGAGUUUGGUUUUAUUCCAAGUGCUGUAGAAAACCACAGAAGGCUUUUAAAUGGGAUAGAGUAGAGGGGGCAUAAGAAGCUGAUGUUUUCAAAGAUUCCUCUGGCUUAUGUAUGGAUGUUGAUGGGUGCAGAACAACGGCAGGAGAUGGAAAACGAGCGGAGGCUAUCGCAACAACCUAGGCGAGAGACGAGGGCAGCUGGACUUGGGGUAGCAGGGGACGUGGUGAAAGGCGGACCAACUUGGGGUCUCUUUGGAGAUAGAAGGCAGCUAGGACUUUUGUGGCAGAUUCAUGGGUUCUGAUUGGCCAUGUGGAUCAGGCCAUUGGGUCAAAAAUCACUGCAGUGCCUUCUUCCCGUGAAGGUAAAUGGCAAGAAUGCUGACUAAUCUCACAGUUCAAAAUACAAGUUCCGCUUGUGCUUUGGACCCUUAGAAUGGUAUACUGUGGCGAUUGUAAAUACCCUACUGCCUUCAACGGGUGAGAUGCUGUUUAUGCCCAGGGAUCGUUUUUCAGCUGUUGACUUCCAUAUUCUGGGCAACACUCAGGGCUCACCUGACUCCCCUCCUGUGUCUAGGCUUCUCAGUCCCAACAGGUCUCUCGAGAUGCAGAGCAGGCCCAGAGUCUAUGGGGCAUCUGUGGCAUGACUUGGCUGCUCGCUGCGCAGAGGAAGCGUCAAGCAGUCCCAGCCUCACCUGAACCUUUGGGACCUCCCCCUUGUGAGGCCCAGAGUUCAUCUGCUUCUCCGAGGUGUUUCCUGAACCACAGCCAACCUGAGUCCAGCUACCAGUUACUGAACAGCUGCUACCUUGAGAGGGACUGACCGACAUCGAGGACCGGGACUCCAGAACCCUGCUUUUGACCGGGAGACCUCCCAACUGGGAGCUCAAAUAAAUACGAGUGUGUUCGUUCUCAAUACUGGAACCCGUGAGCCAAGCUGCAUUUUACGUCUGCAUCCUCUACCCCCUGUUACAGGAGCCUGUUGCCUUUAACGAACCUGAGUCAGUCUAGCGAGGAGAACUGCUCGCCAGGGCUAAUUAUCAUCGCGGCGAUGUGAGUAAAUGAAGGAAAGUGAGUCAUGCACUAGGGCGGUUUUAUGACGGCUGUGAGGGAAGGCAAAUCAAAUGUACGCAUCUAAACUGCAGGGACCUGCGAGCGGCUGAAUCAUACGUCCGAGUGAAUAUGAGUUUUAUGGCGUGCGCCUGGAGAUCCUUAACAUAAUUGUCCUGCUGCUUUGGUCAGGCUGUUCUCUGCCCGGAGGCCCAGUGGUGACCUCUCCAAACACGUCAAGUGGAGCCCUGAACUCUUCAAAUGGAGGCCACCCAUCUUGGGAAGAAAGACAACAGAAAAGAAAGAAAGAGAGUGGCGAAGUCAUAUUUCCACUGCAGAGUUGCCUGAAGAGCUCGCUCCCUUCCUGCCCUGGCUCUGUUCCCGUCAGUGCAUCCCUUGUAGCGAGUCUUAGCUCAGCAGCCUUCACGGGGUGGCCUACAGGGCAAUGAAGUGACCCAAGAAAGAGGAUGGCAUUUCUCCAACCCCCUCACCACCUGUGUGUGUUCACCAGGGAGGUGUUCUUGCCGUCUGGUCCCAGAUGUCCUAAUGCCUCCUUCGCGUAUGGGUUUGUUCAUUAAUUUAGUUAAUGAUUUGAUUUCUAAGUCUGCCCAGGCACUCUUGGAAAUGUCCUGUAGGAUAUAGACAUGAAUCAGCAUGAACUCUGUUCUCAGGAAGCCUGCAGGGUAGGAGAGAAGGUUGGGCGUGUGCCACUGAAGCCUUCACACAGCUAAGGGGCUGUAGGUGGGCUUCCAGCGUGGGCUCUGGACCGCCUCGGCAUGACCCCUGCUCCCCAGCGGCAGAGUUAUUUGCUACUCGCAUCCAUAAAAUGUGGAUGAUAAUAGUUCCCACCCACUGGAUUGUUUUGAGGAAAGCACCUGGCACAGUGUUGGUGGUCACUAAGUGUUACCUCACAGUUUCCUCCACAAAUAAGCGGCAAGUAUCCUAACUGAGAAACCACUGACGUGCUCUGAGGUUCAGAGGCAGAUGUGUCCUGGGGCCUGGAGAGGCUCACGACGCAGGCAGUCUUUGGGCCAGGCCUGGACGGCUCAGCUGAGCUCUCUCUGCGAUGCCCAUCGGAGUCGGUGCUCCCAGCGUUAGAGAAGCAGGACUUUGCCCCAUUUCUCUGUGCGGAUCUAUGGGCGUUUAAUACACAACUGGCUCUUUAAACAUGUUUUCUGGGGACACUGAGGAAAAGGAUGAUUUCUUACAUAAGGGUUAGUUGUUUGUUUUUCAGCUAAUCAAGCCACUCUUCACUUGACUUUGAGGAAGUUUCUUCACCUCUCUGAGACUCUGUUUAUCCUUUUGGAGUAGAGAAGGCCUAUACUCAGUAAGCAUUGUGGCUUUUUUAAACCAGCUCUGAACUAUGGUGAUUAUUAACAAUAUUGCUGUGAGUUUUAGCCUUGCACAUCAUUCACGUGGUUUACAAAGAGUUGACUACAAAUUGUGUGGAACUUGGGCCUGUGUUUGUGUGACUGAUUUCUCUCCGAAGUUUUAUGUUAUAAAAUCGUGAACGGAGCUUUCCAAAACCAUGACUGCCAAAUAUUCUAUUUGACCAACAACACUUAAAGUGUUUAUGUCCAUAUUGACAAAUUCUAUCCUUAUCUACCCACCCACCCUCUGUCUGUCUACUUCUUCUCAUUUCACCUAGUUAGGCAAAAACAACCAGCUUACCACUGGUAUAAGCCUGCAAAUACAGAAAUAUCUAAAGAGAACAGACUUUUUUUUGGAGAUUUGUGACCUAAUUUUAAUUAGACGCACUACCUAAUUUCACUCUGUUUUGGUUUAUUCAUUCUUGUUACGGGUCCACAUACUAUAUUACUCAAAGAAAAAAUUGGAACUUUUGUUUGUUUUUUAUGGGCUGGAAUCAUUGAUGUGUUUUGGAAUAUCACUGUGUCCUUUACUCAGGACAUACGACACAUGUUGUAGAUAACAGAAUCCGCUGGACCUUGUUUAAGAGAAAGAGACUUAAUUUAGGGAAUGGGAAGGGCAGGAGCAGGUUCUAAGCCAAAUUUUCAGGAACUGUCACGGAAUGGCCUACCUAGGGAGCCGCUGCCUUUUCUUUUUUUUUUUGAGGAAGAUUAUCCCUGAGCUAACUACUGCCAAUCCUCCUC